UUCCUCCGUGGCGCCUUUUGAAGACGGCCCACAGAACAUCCCUCCCCAUUGUGGGAAGUGUAUCAACAUGAUCACUAGGGUGCAGCACACUAUCAUCACCCCCAUCAAGGUGCAACCCCGAAGGUGAGGCCACACGCUGCUUGAACGAAUACGGAGAAUAUGAGCAUGACUACUACUGAUACCCCGAGAGAUCCUACUUUCCCCAAAAGGAUGCAGAAGAUGCCUCCUAAUGUCUGCACGAUCCAAAGAGUCCAGAGCCGGCCCCUCAUUCCAUACCUGUUUGCCACAAUAUCUGAUAGGAUUCCUCCUCCCGGCCUGGAGAAGAGAUUUGCUAAUCCGAAACUGGCUGCUAUUAUCCCCGCAGUGUGGAGGCUCACGUUGAAUCUGUCGUAGAAGUACUGCGCGAUUAUGUUGUCUAUUGUCAGCUCAACACCAAAGCAGUAGCCAUAGGUCAGUGCAAGGAUCCAUCCCCUGUAAUUUGUGACCGCGUGAUAUAAAACCUGCUUGAAACUAUCCUUGUGCUUAUCUCCUGAUUUGUGGAGCUGAGAGUAGUUCCCAUCUGGCAAAUCUUGGCCUAGAAAGAAAAUUCCAUAUGCAGACAGAGUCUGAAACAGGCCAGGGACGAAAAAGGCGAUCCUCCACGCUGUGAACUGUGUCGCGCCUAUACGCUCAAUCAAGUUGAACACCAGAGGCAUGAUCAGCUGAGUUGCUCCACCACCUAAGUUCCCCCACCCUCCGGCCACGCCAUUGGCUGUCCCAACAACUUUGGAUGAGAACAACGAGCUCAUCCAGAACUGCGUUGACACGAAGGUGGCUAGGGAGAAGCCAGUGAAGAAGCGGACAAGGAGGAAGGAGGUUGGAGAAUUGGCAAUGGCAGUGCAGUAAACUGCUGGUGCAGUAAGAAGGGUAAGAGCGGCAGAGGCAAGGCGAGGCCCGAACAGAUCACAUGCUGUCCCCAUGGCAAUCCUGGCAAACACUGCACCGGAAACAGCAGCUAUGCCUGCAUUCCCAAUGUCGGUUGCAGUUAGGCCAAGAUUGUCGCGGAUGACUGGAAGCAGAGGCGGAGCAGCAAAACUAGAGACGAAACAGGCAAAGAAAGAUAUCCACGAGAGAUGAAACGCCCGCAUGUGAGGCGCUGCCACUGAGAACAGCCUGAACUCGGUGGAUUUGUGCUCAGAGUCCACAGGAAGUGCAAACUUCUUUUGACAAGUCUCUUCUGCUCCAUUGGACACCUCCAUUUUGGUAUGAUCGGUUUAGGAUAGUGGGAUCCUUUGCUAUCAAAUAGUUUCUAUAUUUUGGAGGUUAUAGCAAUGAGAUGUUGGGAUUAUAUAGCAUCAAAAUCUUGGUUCUGGCAUGUGAAUCUGCAUUUAGGUGUGGAGACAUUGGCGCUCAAGCUUGGAUUUUUAAUGCCUUGUUGUGUACAAGUUUAAAUCUUUCUAAUGUAGUGGGAAAAGGAUGCUUCAUGCUUGAGUUUGCUAUUGGUUGCAUCCAUUGACUUUGGAGCUUGCUUACUAGGAAUCUAAGAGAUUGAAAGAGAAUAUGGCAAUAUGAUUCUUUGACUUUGUUGGAGAUUCCUUUCUUACAUAGUAAUUUAAUUCUAUUUCAUGUGUUUAAUCACAA
Non-coding RNA from Salvia hispanica, 1620 nucleotides. The record is from RefSeq and is a predicted model, not a curated record. NCBI's taxonomy places the organism in Eukaryota, Viridiplantae, Streptophyta, Magnoliopsida, Lamiales, Lamiaceae.